GGUGGGUGUUGUGCUGGGCUCCCUCGGGGUUCUUUGCCUAGCUGUUGGGCUAAGUCAAAGGUUUGUCGGGUUCCUGAAGAUGCGUCGACGUGUUAUCAUCCACGCAAGCUUCCCCAACCCAGCCAGUGUACCACAAGACAACAGGCACUGAGGAGGACGGGAGGAGGGAGCGCGCGGCUGCUGCAGCAUGCACCAUUCAACAGGACGGCAUUGUAUUCCUCCCACAGGAGUGACUACAGCGAAGCAAGCCCAGAAUAAAGCGUUGAGUGACCGUGAUGAUUCAGUACUGCUAACACCAAACAAGUGAGGGAAGUGUUUGGAGUGAGCGUGCAAGACAU
This 338-nucleotide long non-coding RNA is filed under the name Portunus trituberculatus (swimming crab). Its description in RNAcentral is "uncharacterized LOC123503962". The record is from RNAcentral. Lineage: Eukaryota; Metazoa; Arthropoda; Malacostraca; Decapoda; Portunidae.